RNAcentral lists this ribosomal RNA (2136 nucleotides) under Triticum aestivum (bread wheat). Its description in RNAcentral is "partial small subunit ribosomal RNA". Lineage: Eukaryota; Viridiplantae; Streptophyta; Magnoliopsida; Poales; Poaceae. The record is from RNAcentral.
AUGUGCUUGCAUGUUAUCUUUGUGACGACCUCCAGAGGGUGUUCAGUGCAAACCAUCGAAGAAUAUAUUCUAAAGAAGCUCCGAAUACCAGAAGGUGGUAAUGUGGAAUGUCAACGCCAAAUCAUUUAUGAAUUCCUAAAGAUCAGAAGCUUUCUCAUACUGUUGGAUGACCUUUGGGAGCAAAUAGAUCUACAAGCAGUUGGUGUACCAUAUCCCCUUGGAAUUGUAAACCAGCUUGAGAGAAAAGUGGUUCUUACAACAAGAUUAAGAAAAGUCUGUGGUGAAAUGGAGGUGAGUGAAGUGUUAAAAGUCGCUUGUCUACAAGAGACAGAUGCAUGGCAAUUAUUCAAAGAAAAAGUCAGUGGGGAAACACUUUCUUCAAGUCCUCGUAUCGAAACCCUUGCAAGAGAACUUGUGAAAGAACUGAAGGGUCUGCCAUUAGCUUUGAUAGUUAUCGGAAAGGCAAUGUAUCCAAAAACCGAUCCGAUUGAAUGGGAAUAUGCCAUCCAACAUAUGCAUCGGUCAUGCUGUAUCAAGGAUAAUCCCUUGUCGCUAGAAAAUGUUUUCGGACAACACAAAUUUAGUUAUGACAAUUUACGGAAUGACACCUUGAAACAUUGUUUCUUGACUUGUGCACUAUGGCCAGAGGAUUGGGAGAUUAUCAAAGCUGAUCUCGAUCAAUGUUGUAUUGGAUUAGUUCUAGUGGAUGAAUGUGAUAUUCGAAGAUCCUACACAAAGGCAUAUAGUAUAAUAGGAGACCUUAGAGAUGCAUGCCUGCUAGAGAACUGGGGAAAUUGGUAUGGUUUUGUUAAAGUGCAUGAUGUUAUUCGUGGUAUGGCUUUAUGGAUCUCUUGUGGCUAUGGUGAUGACAAUAACAAGUGGUUUAUCCGCGCAGAAGCUGGCGCAGAAGAAAGUAUUAGCAUCCCUUGGAGCAAACCUGAGUACAUUUCACUGAUGUUGAAUGGAAUGAAGAAACUUCCUCCCUUUGGCUUUGAUCAUCGCCCCAUGAAAUUGACGGUGUUAUGCCUUCAACAUAAUUAUUUCGAUGGAAGCAUAGCUGAAACAGUCAAGAAUUUCACUUCACUGACAUAUCUGGAUUUGAGGACGAACCUUCUCAAGAACAUAUGUGAAGAAUUAUGUUCCUUGGCAAACUUGGAGUACUUUGAUUUGUCUCAUAAUCCCAACAUAUGUGAAUUGCCUCACUACUUUCGAAACCUCACUAAGCUCAAGUUCUUGUACCUAUUGUGCACUAUCAUACGAAGAGUACCAGAGGAGGUCAUAUCUAACCUUAAAGCAUUGCAAGUAAUAGACUUGAGGACUUGCCGGGCAUAUGUUGGAGGAGGCCCUGUGAACUUUAUCCCUAACAUAUUCCAAGAGUUGGGUACCCUUGACCACUUCAAAGCAGCUGGAAUUGAGGCUGAUGGUUUUGAUGAGUAUGAAACACUAAGAGAAGCUGCUAAACUCCCCAUUAGGUCUUUAAGACUGGGGAGUCUCAAAAGAACACAUGAGUUCGGCCUCUCUGACAUUCUUUCAAUUAAAUUUGCACGCAGGACCUUGUAUGAACUGGAUAUUAUACAGAGUAACAUGGAGCAGAUAAUUGUAAGAGACGAGUCAAGCUAUCAUUUUGGUGCUCUGAAUAAGCUCCUCUUGUGGUUUUUGGUAAACUUGAGAGGGUUAAGAUGGCUGGGUAGAUCUCCAACAUCCAUAUUUCCAAAGCUCACUUGUUUGGAUGUGAAUAGCUGCUCCAAGCUAGAGAACCUCUCCUGGGUGAUGUACGUGCCCUGCCUUGAACAUCUCGAGGUACGUUUCUCCAACAUUAUGGCGGAAGCAUUUCCGGGGACAGAGCACCACGGUGAAAUAAUGAGCAUGGAUCAAGAAAGUUCAAUGAAAUCAAAUGGUACAUUUUCUUGCCUGAAAUAUUUGCACCUUUCAGACAACCCAAAGCUGGUCACCAUCUACGAUGACAAUGUGAUGUUCCCGUUUCUGGAGCAGCUGGUGCUCACAAAAUCUCCAGAGUUGAUUAGGCUCCCUUUCCGGAUGCACCGCUUGCCGCUAAAGCUGCAGGAGCUACAGUUUUAUGAUGUUGAAUGCUGGGACAGAUUGGAAUGUGACGAAGGUGUCAAGUAUUUCCUGUAA